This 253-nucleotide non-coding RNA is filed under the name uncultured bacterium. Its description in RNAcentral is "partial 16S ribosomal RNA". It matches the Rfam family "Bacterial small subunit ribosomal RNA", at positions 524 to 776 of the family's 1533-position model. The record is from RNAcentral. RNAcentral also lists the same sequence under 2 other names.
UACGUAGGGUGCGAGCGUUAAUCGGAAUUACUGGGCGUAAAGCGUGCGCAGGCGGUUGUGCAAGACAGAUGUGAAAUCCCCGGGCUUAACCUGGGAACUGCAUUUGUGACUGCACGGCUAGAGUGCGGCAGAGGGGAGUGGAAUUCCGCGUGUAGCAGUGAAAUGCGUAGAUAUGCGGAGGAACACCGAUGGCGAAGGCAGCUCCCUGGGCCUGCACUGACGCUCAUGCACGAAAGCGUGGGGAGCAAACAGG